GAGAAUAGGAUGCAGGGAGCAUGCGCAGUACGGUGCAGGGACGUGAAGACUUGGGAGACACCCACUGACACCGAGAUGACGGAGGGAACAUCCACGCCAGAGCAGCACCGAUCGUGCCAUCGCCGUUCUGACGCGAGAAGCAAAGGAAGGUGGCCCAAACGAAGGCACAGCAGCCGGUGAAGGCAGUCCGCACGUACAGAG
Molecule: long non-coding RNA, 201 nt
Organism: Etheostoma spectabile (orangethroat darter)
Lineage: Eukaryota; Metazoa; Chordata; Actinopteri; Perciformes; Percidae
Exons: 2
Source: RefSeq, a predicted model, not a curated record